This 683-nucleotide ribosomal RNA is filed under the name Lobothallia sp. RNAcentral's name for it is "SSU rRNA". It matches the Rfam family "Bacterial small subunit ribosomal RNA", at positions 422 to 1125 of the family's 1533-position model. Lineage: Eukaryota; Fungi; Ascomycota; Lecanoromycetes; Pertusariales; Megasporaceae. The record is from RNAcentral.
AAUGCGGGUCUUACUAUGUCGAAGAAGUACCAUGUAUACUUAUGAGGUGACAUUUUCUACGUAUGUGCGUUGACCCGCGACGGCCGGGCCGUCGCGGUAAUACGUGGAAAACUAGGUUAUUCAUCUUUAAUAGGUUUAAAGGAACUUAGACGGUAUAUUAAGCCCAGAUAAAAAUCAAGGGUCCUAAUUAUACUAGAGUGUAAAUGAGAGGGGGGGUGUAGUGUUGGUGUAGAGAUGAAAUUGUGUCAUACCAAGAUGACAGGCUGCUGCGCAAGCAACCUUUUAUGUGUAGACUGACGUUAAAGGACGAAGGCUUUGUAUCACCAACAGGAUUAGGUACCCAAGCAGUCUUAGCAGACAAUUCUGAAUGCCAUAGAUAAGAAAAGAUUCUUUUCUCUCUAUCUCUAUUAAUAAAAAGAGAUAGAUGUUAUUUUGUCUAUAAAUGAAAGUGUAAGCAUUCCACCUCAAGAGUAAUGUGGCAACGCAUAAACUGAAAUCAUUAGACCGUUUCUGAAACCAGUAGUGAAGUAUGUUGUUUAAUUUGAUGGUCCGCACAAAACCUCACCACAAUUUGUAUAUUAUUAUCUUAAUACAGGAGUUGCACGGCUGUCUUCAGUUAAUGUCGUGAGAUUUUGGUUAGUUCCAUUAAAUUAACGUAAACCCUUACUUUAUUUAUGUUAUAA